RNAcentral lists this ribosomal RNA (496 nucleotides) under uncultured bacterium. Its description in RNAcentral is "partial 16S ribosomal RNA". It matches the Rfam family "Bacterial small subunit ribosomal RNA", at positions 29 to 507 of the family's 1533-position model. The record is from RNAcentral.
AUGAACGCUGGCGGCGUGCCUAAUACAUGCAAGUCGAGCGAACAGACGAGGAGCUUGCUCCUCUGACGUUAGCGGCGGACGGGUGAGUAACACGUGGAUAACCUACCUAUAAGACUGGGAUAACUUCGGGAAACCGGAGCUAAUACCGGAUAAUAUAUUGAACCGCAUGGUUCAAUAGUGAAAGACGGUUUUGCUGUCACUUAUAGAUGGAUCCGCGCCGCAUUAGCUAGUUGGUAAGGUAACGGCUUACCAAGGCAACGAUGCGUAGCCGACCUGAGAGGGUGAUCGGACACACUGGAACUGAGACACGGUCCAGACUCCUACGGGAGGCAGCAGUAGGGAAUCUUCCGCAAUGGGCGAAAGCCUGACGGAGCAACGCCGCGUGAGUGAUGAAGGUCUUCGGAUCGUAAAACUCUGUUAUUAGGGAAGAACAAAUGUGUAAGUAACUAUGCACGUCUUGACGGUACCUAAUCAGAAAGCCACGGCUAACUACGUG